RNAcentral lists this long non-coding RNA (271 nucleotides) under Homo sapiens (human). Its description in RNAcentral is "HSALNT0352039". The record is from RNAcentral. Lineage: Eukaryota; Metazoa; Chordata; Mammalia; Primates; Hominidae.
UCAUCUCAUCAUUUCAUCAUUUCAUCUCAUUUCAACUCAUUGCAUCUCAGCUCAUCAUUUCCAUUUCAUUAUUCCAUUUCAUCAUUUCAUUCAUUAUGUCAUUUCAACUCAUCAUAUUUCAUCUCAUCUCAUCAUUUCAUUAUUCCGUUUCAUCAUUUCAUUCAUUAUGUCAUUUCAUCUCAUAUUUCAUCUCAUCUCAUUUCAUCUCAUUUUAUCUCAUCUCAUCAUUUCAUCAUUUCAUCUCAUCAUUUCUUCUCAUCUCAUCAUUUCC